Molecule: small nucleolar RNA, 149 nt
Filed under: Octodon degus (degu)
Lineage: Eukaryota; Metazoa; Chordata; Mammalia; Rodentia; Octodontidae
Description: Small nucleolar RNA SNORA8 (ENSODEG00000022614.1)
Source: RNAcentral
UGUACUGUAUGGUAUCUGCACUCAACAGUUAUUCCUGCUGGUGUGUUCAAAAGACAGAGGGAUAGAAAUUUAGUAUCUGGGGGCUGGGGAGAUGGCUCAGUAGAAUAAGCACUUCCCUGGCAAGCACAAGGGUCUGAAUUCAAUCCUCA